AAGGAUCAUUAACGAAUCUAAAGUCGAUAUGUUGUGCUGGUGGCAACACAUGUGCACACAUGUCGCAUACAUCCACACACCUGUGAACCCUAGACUCUGUGGCCGAUCGAACACCCGGACUUUUUGUCCACGUGUGAGGGGACCUCCGUGUCCUCCGUUCGCCCGGGGUACUUUUACACACGCCGAAUGUGAUAGAAUGUAUCUGUGCAUAACGCAUGACUAUACAACUUUCAACAACGGAUCUCUUGGCUCUCGCAUCGAUGAAGAACGCAGCGUAGCCGCAUCGAUGUGGAAGUAAAAGUCGUAACAAG
Molecule: unclassified non-coding RNA, 311 nt
Filed under: uncultured fungus
Lineage: Eukaryota; Fungi
Description: partial contains 18S rRNA, ITS1, 5.8S rRNA, ITS2 and 28S rRNA
Source: RNAcentral